Molecule: unclassified non-coding RNA, 552 nt
Filed under: Metschnikowia sp. JSKim-2014
Lineage: Eukaryota; Fungi; Ascomycota; Pichiomycetes; Serinales; Metschnikowiaceae
Description: partial contains 18S rRNA, ITS1, 5.8S rRNA, and ITS2
Rfam family: 5.8S ribosomal RNA (bases 202-355)
Source: RNAcentral
GGACCUGCGGAAGGAUCAUUAAAGAGUAAGGGUGCUCAGCGCCCGACCUCCAACCCUUUGUUGUUAAAACUACCUUGUUGCUUUGGCGGGACCGCUCGGUCUCGAGCCGCUGGGGAUUCGUCCCAGGCGAGCGCCCGCCAGAGUUAAACCAAACUCUUGUUAUUUAACCGGUCGUCUGAGUUAAAAUUUUGAAUAAAUCAAAACUUUCAACAACGGAUCUCUUGGUUCUCGCAUCGAUGAAGAACGCAGCGAAAUGCGAUAAGUAAUGUGAAUUGCAGAAUUCAGUGAAUCAUCGAAUCUUUGAACGCACAUUGCGCCCCUUGGUAUUCCGAGGGGCAUGCCUGUUCGAGCGUCAUUACACCACUCAAGCUAUGCUUGGUAUUGGGCGUCGUCCUUAGUUGGGCGCGCCUUAAAGACCUCGGCGAGGCCACUCCGGCUUUAGGCGUAGUAGAAUUUAUUCGAACGUCUGUCAAAGGAGAGGAACUCUGCCGACUGAAACCUUUAUUUUUCUAGGUUGACCUCGGAUCAGGUAGGGAUACCCGCUGAACUUAA